RNAcentral lists this ribosomal RNA (233 nucleotides) under uncultured bacterium. RNAcentral's name for it is "partial 16S ribosomal RNA". It matches the Rfam family "Bacterial small subunit ribosomal RNA", at positions 118 to 346 of the family's 1533-position model. The record is from RNAcentral.
UGGGCAACCUGCCCUCAGCUCUGGGAUAACUCCAAGAAAUUGGGGCUAAUACCGGAUAUGACUGCUGACCGCAUGGUCUGGUGGUGGAAAAGAUUUUAUCGGCUGGGGAUGGGCCCGCGGCCUAUCAGCUUGUUGGGUGGGGUAGUGGCCUACCAAGGCGACGACGGGUAGCCGGCCUGAGAGGGUGACCGGCCACACUGGGACUGAGACACGGCCCAGACCUCCGUACGGGA